RNAcentral lists this ribosomal RNA (440 nucleotides) under uncultured bacterium. RNAcentral's name for it is "partial 16S ribosomal RNA". It matches the Rfam family "Bacterial small subunit ribosomal RNA", at positions 338 to 795 of the family's 1533-position model. The record is from RNAcentral.
CCUACGGGUGGCAGCAGUAGGGAAUAUUGCUCAAUGGCGGAAACCCUGAAGCAGCAACGCCGCGUGGAGGAUGAAUGUUUUCGGAUUUUAAACUCCUUUUUUUAGAGAAGAUAAUUACGGUAUCUAACGCAUAAGCACCGUCUAACUCCGUUCCAGCAGCCGCGAUAAUACGGAGGGUGCAAGAGUUACUCGGAAUCACUGGGCGUAAAGAGCGCGUAGGCGGGAUAGCAAGUCAGAUGUGAAAUCCUAUGGCUUAACCAUAGAACUGCAGUUGAAACUGUUAUUCUAGAGUGUGGGAGAAGUAGGUGGAAUUCUUGGUGUAGGGGUGAAAUGCAUAGAGAUCAAGAAGAACACUCAUUGCGAAGGCGACCUGCUAGAACAUAACUGACGCUGAUGCGCGAAAGCGUGGGGAGCAAACAGGAUUAGAUACCCUAGUAGUC